GCAAGAGAAACUGAUCUGCGUGCAGGAAAAGUCUGCUUGUUUGAGCUCAUCGAUAGGGAUGAGACAGUGUUCGAAGUCUCCAUUCUGAGAGGUGCUGGUAAUGACCUGAUUCAUGUUAAUGGAGAUGAGCAUCGGAAGUAUUACCUGAGGCCAUUGCAGCAUCGAAAUGAAAUCAGGGGUUCCUAAUGAUGCCUCCUUAUAUUAAGCAGCGCAGCAGCGAAUCAAUCAAAAGCACUCUUUUCCGCUUUUUGUUCUCCUUUCUUCCUUUUUGUGCUAGUUUGAAUUCUAUGACUACCUUGCUUGGAAAGAACCUCCCAAAUCAGUGAAUCUUUAUGGUUUUGCACAGCGGCUCAACCUGACCAGUGGAUCUACAGGACAGUGAAGACAUAAUGCUCUGAUGUAUGUUCAUGGAGUAUUUCUCCUUUUAUAUGUUUUGUCUUUCAAAUAUUAUGGCUUGUCCUCGUCCUCUUCGUUCCCGGAGAGAAUACGAAGCUGUUGCCGAGCAGGAGACGACUCCUAGUAGAAGCCCUCACUUCUUCAGGAUCAUAUUCUUCGGGAUCGUACUCUCUGACAAGCUAAUUUGCUAGGUUAGGAGUUUUGAUCAACACCCUUGAGAGGUUCUUGAAAGUCAUUGAUCUCAAUUAAGCAGCAAUCCAAAGCAUUUUCUUUUAGAAGUGACUUGUCAUUUAGGGCUUGUUUGGUAAAAUCUAUCUUUGUUCCGAGGAACAAAAUUUCCGUUCUUUUGAUCCGAGGAACCAAAAAAGAAUACAAAUGUGUUUGGUAAAACUUUAGUUCUCGGGAACAAAAAAUACAUUUGGAACAGAAACAAGAAGUAGAAAAAAGUAAGGGAACAAUUUCUAAAAUCAAAUUUUUUCUCUUCUUUUUUCUUCUCUUUUCUGGCGACCUCGCCAGAGCGUCGCUAGCCCCCAGAGAUCACUAGCCCCCAAAGACGUCAAGCCACGGUGAGGGCCUCGCCUGGGUUAGAUUGCACGGGCAAGGUCAACCUUGCGCCACUUGGGCAAGGUCGGGCCUCGCUGGUGGCCUCAAUGCUUGCUUGGCCACCGAGGCCACCAGUGAGGCUCUGGCCCUCGCCUUGGUCUAGCAAGGUUCCAGUGAGCUCACUAGACCUUGCCUACUCACUGGACCUUGCCUAGCUGGUCGCGAACCACUGCCAAGGCGGAUGACCAGCUACAAAGGAGGAAGAAGGAAAAAUAUAAUAAAAAUAUUUAAAAAUUAUACAAUUUUACCAAACACAUUUCUAUGUCCGGAAUAGAAAUUUUUUACAGCUUCCAAGCGUGUUCUUAUACUCAGAAAUUGUUCUAGAAACAUUUAAAAAAAAAUCAUUUCUCAUAAAAAAAUUGUUCCAUGGAAUAGAAUCGUUACCAAAUGCACUGUUAGUUUUCUAUACAAUUCAAAAUCAACUUUGGGAAAAAGCACAAUGCCGAAGCCUCAAUCUGGUCGGCAUGUAAGUAUUUCUAAUGUUCAAAUUAGUGGCGGAAAAUAUCACUGCGAAUUUUGUUUUGCAUUGACGGUAAAUGGUCUAUUUUUUAUUAUUUUUUCUUUGAUGUUACAAGAGGCGAAAGCCUGAAAAAUAGAGUGGUUGGCCAUGGCGAAAAUUUUGUAUACAUGAUCUAAUUCUACAUGCCAUGAUCUAUAUGCCAAAAUUAGCAUAGCAAUGCAAUUACGAAUUUUAUAAGGAUUUGCACAAGCAAUCGACCUAUCUCUUGGACUUUCAACCUUCAACUUUCAACUUUCAACUUUAAACUCCUUGCGAGAUUGGUGUUCAGUGCACUCUGGAAAAAUAAAAUCGAAAUGACAUUAUGUUGGAAAUUUAAGUAAGAACAAUUUGAACAUGACGGGGAUCAUCAUGGAUGGGUCGUAACAUGUACAUAUAUGAAUGUAACCUAUAAGGGCGAAUAAGAGGCUAAAUAUUAAAAAAGUUGUUGAAAUAGCUUAUUAUCAUGAAAAUAGGUGAUAGUUAGAUAUGAAAAGAAAUGAUGGUUGAUCAUGAAAAGUGAUAAUAAUGGAGAAAAGGUACAUAUUCUCAAUAAAUGUAUUGAUUGGCUAUAUGUAAGUAUGACCAAAUCAUACAUUAUUCAACACUCCUGUUUAAGAAUAAUAGCCUUCUCUUUUUCAUAACUCUCUCUUCUUCAUAUUAUUCCGUAAUAUUAUUUUCUUUUUUUUUUCACACGCGAGUUUGAUAAUAUAUUCAAGAGAGAAAUUGAGUAAUUCUUGAACUCAUUUUCUUUUGUAGCUUUACUGUAUAUCUUGGAGGUAAGUGCGCCUUAAUAAUUGCGCAAUUAUUGGCACACCCGCACACGGGUAUGGUGGGGUCUAUCCCACACCCAAUCAUUUCUUUAGGUACACUAAAGAAAUCUCACACUUACUAAUUGACCUAUUUUCUCCAACUUUUCUUACAUGGGAUAAGGAAACAUGCACUUAGUUUGUUUUUACAAACAAACUUCCAACAAUAUUCACAAUGUCUAUUUUGGUUUAGUUAGUUCGUGCAAUCGUGUACUACAGAGAACAUAUCCUUUAUCUCAUUAUUUAUAUCAUGAUUACAUCAUGAGAUAAUUAACUUUAACAAUCAAUAACCACUUGAUUAACUUUUCUUUUCUUCCUUAAUUAUAAUUAUUUAUAUCAUGAUUACAUCAUGAGAAUUAUUGUGACGUCUAUGGUCAAUGGAAUCGGAACUCCACUGCCGGGUACAAUAUAUGGGAACUUUGGUUUAUGCUGAUGUAGUUACCCACAAAUUAAGACAAACAGGACAUCUGCCCAUAUAUGGAAAUAAUAAAUUGACUCUUGUUUAAGCAAUUAUGGGAUUAUUGAUUCGAAUAGACGUCGUGAAGGGAAAAAAAAUGAUCAAAUGACACAAAUUGCCACUCUAGUAAUCACAUAUGAAUAAAUUUUAUAUAAAAUCAUAUCAGAGUAACUAAUUUUUUAAAAGAACAAUUUUUAAAACCCAUUUUUGAUUAAAAAAAUGCUUGAAUUAUAUUAGUGUUGUGGAGAAAAAUGAUAUAUAUUUUGAAUAUUUACACAAUGUGAUAGAGGCGAUGUCAAUUCCACCUCCAUUUUGGCCAGUGCACUUAUUGUUUUAGGUUUUUUUUUUGUUAGUCAUACUCUAUUCCUACACUAACUCGAACUCUCACUCUCAGAUUUUUGUCUUGCCUCCCUAAAGGACGUGAGAGUCGAAACUCAUACUAGAAACUAAUUCGUCCACAUCCCAACCCUCUGAGAAUGUGGGGAUUCGAACCUCCCACUUCACCCUUCCAUCUUGGAAAGGUAGCCAUUGAAGCAAACCCCAGUGGUUUAUUGACUGAAAUACUCUCUCUCUAUUUUUAUUUAUUUAUUAGACUAAUCAACAAAAAUGACUUUAUUUCUAUCAUUUCUUUAAUCCAUUUCAUAAUAUAAAUGCAUUAUUAUAGCUAGCAAGACGUCAUCUUAUCUUUUGUUAUCACUUUGCUUAUAGAAGGUUGUUAAUUUUAAUUUAUGACCUCAUAUUUUUUAUCUUUAAAUCUAAAUAGAAGAUUAUAAAUUUAUAUUUAUGACAGCCCAUGAAUUCACAAUCAAUUACCUUUUUUUUUUUUUAAAUUCAAAUAGUUUGAGCUAAUCUAUAUUUCAAUGCUGAAAAUUAAAUUCCAAUCUUAUUAUUUAGCCGAUCUUGACCUUAUGAGUGUUUUUCCCAAUUAAGUUUGUAGGUUUCUAAAGUUAAUAUUGCUUAUUUUGUGCUUUCUUUUGGAACUUUUCAUAUUUUAAUUCAAAUUGCAAGAUGAGGAUUGAAAAUCUAGUUACAUCUCUUUCACUUUCAAAUCCACAAAUUAUUUUGGAGGAAAGUUUUAAGCAUAUUUUAAAGUUUUAAUCCACAUGCUAUGAGAAUAAAUCUUUAAUUGAUAUUAAGUAUCUAAUUCAUGGUAGAUGUACAAUAAGAAGUUCCCUCUUUUUUCCCUUUUUGUGCUUAUGCUUUGUUAAUAUCUAGGUAUGAUCCAAAUAUAAACAUGUUUAAAAUUUGAUCAUGCUACUAACACAUUAACCUUUUCCAUAAUUUGAUCCAUUAUUUUUUUUUUCAUUUUUUAUCAAGAUCAACUAGAUAAUUAGAUUGAAAUUUAAUUUUCAACUUUGAAAAAUAGUUUAGCUCAAAUUAUUUAAUAAAAAAUAGGCAACUGAACGUGUAUUCAGAAGCUGUCAUAAGUAAAAAAAAAUUAAUCUUCCAUAUAGCUUUUGUGAGUAAAAUAUUAGACCAUAAUUAGAAUGAACAACUUUCUCUAAGCAAAGUGAUAAGAUAACAUGAUGCAGGAUGAGAUAAUAUCUCGUUGGGUGUAAUGAGGCAUUUGUAAGUGAUAAGCAUCCGGUCAUCUGUUACUUUUGCAUAGGGUCAUUUUGGUUCCAAAAAUCAUUUUUCCUGAAUUAAAGCUGUCCGAAAGAGGGCAAAAUUGAGAAAGAAAUUAUGAAAGAAGAGAGAGCCAGAGUUUCGAAAUUUAGGGCUGACUCAGUUGGAUAUGACCCUCACCGGCUCUAAGUGGAGGGGAAGAAAUUAAAGAAAAGAAAAAAGAAAAAAAAUUUCAAAAUUUCAAAAAAUAUUAUUUAAAAGGUCCUUGUAGUCAAAAUUGGCCAACACAAAUGCAAAAAGAUUUUAGAUUGAAUUGAUAAUAAAAAAUAUUCAUAAUUGAAUUGACACAAUUACAAUAUGUUUAUGAUAUUUUUGGUAAUUCUCUCAGGCUCUUGUGCAUUUUCGUAACAUCUUAACGUUUUGUGUUGAAACAAAGAUGUUUGCAAGAAAGUGACAAUACAAAGAAAGCGGUUCUUGCAUAACCUUUUUGCAUUCCUUGCCUUUUAAGCGAUCAACAAUAUGUUUAUGGCUAAAUAAAAAUAAUAUUUCGAAAAAAUUACAUGGAUAAGCGCUUACCUGUAGGUGACGUGUUUCCAAACGAACUAUUCUCCAAUUUAAAGUAAUCUUUAUUUGGAGGCCCACCAUUCUACCGAAGAAGUGAAUGCGCUGAUUUAUGUGCAUUUAUGCCAAUUUGAUAGGACUGAGAAAUCAAUAUUGGGAAUUUGAGGACUAUUUUUAAGUGCUGACAAUCUUAAGUGUUAAAGUUAAAAUAAAAAGUUUUAGAUAGGGUACCAAUAAGUUUAUUUCCUUUAUUAUUAGCGGAUCAGAUUGGAUCAUAUUUUAUUAGGAGAGUAACAUUGUAACUUCGGGCCAUGGCCCUUUUUUUAUUACAAAAAAAAAAAAAUGUUUGACAAUCAUUGAAUAUUUGUAAUUUCUUUCCAAUUACAAAACUACAAUCAUAUUUGAUAGGUCGGAACCAUAUGAUCAGUAAGAUUCUAACUACUAUAAAUUAUUUUCUCAAUUUGAAUGAAUUAAGUAAUCCAUUUUUAUACGAAUUGGAUAAGUAAAUUUAUAACUUAAUUAAAUCUACUAAAUUAAUGAUAAUUGAAGUUAUCUAACAAGCUUAAUUUCUAACUAUGACAUGAGAGAGGACUCCGACCCUCUCCCAAAUCUAGAUAAGGGCCUAUGGGGCGUUGCUGGGGUUGAUGAAGGUCACCAACCAUCCCGAGGCCUUGCCGAACCCCCAUCCAUCACCGAGGCAUCAUAGGUUCUCCCUGGUGGGUCUUCUAUUAUUAUUAAAUAUUUAGCCUUGUCUUAAUCUAAUUUAACUAAGAUUUAGGUUAACGUAUAAUGAUUUCACUUAAACAACACUUUAAUCUUAUGCUUAGUCUUUAGUAUGUCAAUGUUACAUAAAAGAGAGAAAAUAAAAAGUAAAAAUGCAACAACCAUUAUCUAUUAGUUAAGUUGGACGAAAUUAAUGAAAUGACUUAAUUGUGUCAAUUUGAUAAAUUUUAUGAAUUGAUUGCACACUUUUAAAGUUUUAACGUUGGAUCGCACUUUUAUACUAAAUUUUAUAAACUCUAGUGCACUUAUCGCUAAAUAGAUUGCUCCAAAUGAUCAACAACAUUGAGGAACCAAAUUCUAUUGGGGUAAGGACAAGCUCUUGGAGUCCUCCAUCAAAUCAACAGUUAACAUUUAAUGGAGAUGGCAGUGGAUAGAUAACAAAGGGGCCAUAGGUAUUAUUGCACAAUCGGAUGGAGGCUUCGUUGUCCAAGCGUGGAGUGGAAGUGGAAGCUGUGACACUUCUUUUUGCAUGUAAAGCUGCUUAGUCUCUUGACAUCCAUAAAGUGAUGUUUGGAAGUGAAUGGAGUUUGAAGUGGACUUGUUAUAUUAUUAAUGAAGUUGCUCAUGAGCUUUCAAAAUGGGCCGACAUAUGCUUUCAUUUUAAAUGAUCUCUCUUCUAGAAUUAAAAGUAUAGUGUUAGCAGAGUCAUCUUUAAUUUAUCAUUUAAAUGUAAGCUCUAGUUUCUCCUCGUAAUAUUUGAACUACUUUGCUGCGAAGGAAGAUUUGUUUUAGCCACAAAAAAAAAAAAAAAAAAAAAGGAAACUGAUCAACAACGGUCUUGUCUUGUCUUGGCUUGUCUUCCGGACUUCCGGACUGAUUCGUACCGCGAAGAGACAGCCACCAAAAGGAUAAGGAUAAGCCACGUAACGCUCACAAAGAGUCCACCCAUCAGUUGCCACGUGUACACAGUGGGUCCCACUCCGACUCCGUCAGCUCCUCCCUUUCCGUUUCUUCACGGCGGCGGCGAAGCCUCCGGCGAGGGGCCCGGAGAUAGUGCGAAGACCAGCUCCAUGUCGCGUCGCGCCCGCUCGCUCUCACGCCUCAGCCCGUUCGAGAACCCUUCUUUCGCCUCCACACUUCCUCCGUUCUCGACUCGUCAUGGAACCGGCAUGCGCCCACCAGGCGUUCGACGAAAUUACUCUGUGGGGAUGAAGCAAAAUUCAACGUCGUGGCCCGCCACGGGGACUCGGAGGAGGAAGAACAGGCAGAGAGAGAGAGAGAGAGAGAGAGAGAGAGGGUAACGGAGCCGUCAAAGAAACGAUAAGGUCGGUAGGAAGCCGGGGUGGGGCCCUGCGUGUACCCGUGUCGAUUCGCGCAUGGACUGGAGCGCCCAAUAAUUUCUCCUCCCUCCGUCGCCGAACCACGCGUCGCCCGAUUCCGCACUCCCCCUCCACCUCCACCACUGACGUGCCGAAGAAGAGCAGCCAAAACCAUCUUCUUCUUCUUCUUCUUCUUCUUUAUCUUCUUCUUUUGUAAGGAGUCAGGGGACGCCGCCGUCUAUGGCUUCUUGUAGUGGUCGUCGCCGCCGCCGGAGAGAAGGUGGAGCAGCCGAGCGGGAGGCCGCGGCCGGUCCUCCUCGCCGUGGGAGCCGUUGCUUCUUCAAGUUCAUACUCUCCGGCGCGAUCGACUCUGGGAAGCUCGUGAGUCGGUCAAAUCUUCGCACUCUGUUUUUAAGAGUUUCUCUUGCUCUGUGCUGUGUACCCAUCAACCUGGAAAACGGGUCUGCGCGUUUGGUUUGGAACGAGCAAUGAACUUUUCGUUUCAAGCCGAAGAAAUAAAGAACAGGGUAUUCUCUAACAUGGCUGUCGAUCCAGCAAAAUUUCUCCUUUUUUCGUACUUCGAUGAUAUGAAAGUCUUCAUCGGAUGUGCGACCAGUUGUCCUAAACCAUGGUGAUGGCGGGCCUCAUGGCUGCUGCCAUGUCUUCUUCUGAAAUUUACUUUUUUGUAUAUAUAUUUUACGAUUUGGGUCGAUAUGGGUUUUCGGACUAUAGUGUUAUGCGCAUGGUUCAGGUUUCCACAACAUCCUUUGAACGUUGCUAUUCGGAAAAGAAGAGUAAUUUCAUGGAUACACAGAGUUAACUUACAGAUGUUGAUAUGACAAAAGUAAUGGGCUUUUCCAAUGAAGCAACCAUCACUACAAAUCAAUCCACAACUAUUUCGGAGUACACUUGUGGAAACUGAUCUUUCAUUCAUGCUGCAGAAUUUAAAAUUCCUUAGAUUUUUUCUUUCCCCUGUUCUCUGCACUUUGGUUUGACUAUGAUGAGUUAUUAUGAUGGACCCGUAAACCUUUUCAUAAUAGGGAAUUCCAAAGAAUUUCUUGAGAAGACGUGGGAAGGAUCUCUCAAACUCGGUGCUUCUUAAGGUUCCUGGCAGUUCAACCUGGACUAUAGAACUAGAAAAGCAUAACCAUGACAUGGUUUUGUUGGGGAAAGGGUGGCGGGAAUUCAUGGAGCAUUACUCCAUCGGUCAUGGUCACUUCAUAGUUUUCAAAUAUAAAGAGAACUCCACUUUUCGCGUAAUAAUAUUUGAUAAGAGUGCUUCAGAGAUAGAUUAUUCCUCGAGCAGGGGUGAACCAUCAUACCUUGGGAGCGAACUUCCCUCGCCAGAAGCAGAAGAUGUUGUAGAAACAGAUCGUCUGGAGGAUGUCAAACCCCGUCAAAGAAUGAGGAUGGAGCCACAUUUACCUUGUUCUCAGCUAAGUCCGAGUUUCUCACCGCGAGGGUCUGAAGGUGUGACUCUUCAUUUUAGAAGUCUCGUAUAUUCUUGCAUCACUCUCUUUUGUUAGCUCUUUUCCAAAAAUGCUUGUGAACUUUUUACAAUCUAAAGCCGCUAAACUGAUAUGGUAUCAUUACAUGAAAAAAAAGGCCUCUGCUAUGGAACAGAGUAGCUUUGCUAUUUCUAUUUGUAGCCAUGGGAAGUAGGUCGAUUGAUUUUAUGCCUAUCCCUUGUUUUGGAGCUAAAUGGAAGCUGGUCUCCUCCGUAUGUAGUUUCCAUGGAUACUGACCCUGAAGAACCACAUAUGGCUCAAGCUCAAGCUGGCCUGACAGAGAGGAGUAAACAGCCAACAUGCGGAGCGAGUCAUUCUGAGCUGGAUUUUCACGGUCCUAUGCUUCCAAGACCUCUCACUACUCCUGAAUUAACCCGCAAAAUUAAUUCCGAAUAUCCCUUUUUCAUAAAGGUGAUUAGGCGAUCUUAUAUGAGUAAACUGGUAAGUCUUGAGCUCAUCACGAGUAUAGUUCAAUUAUGACUGCUGGUACCUACAAUGCCAUGAUCACAUUAAUUGUGAUGUCCACCUAUUUGAGAUUUUUUUCUCCCAUCCAUAUAGUGUUUAUGAUAUAAUACAGUGGAUUACUACAACAAUACUCAUUCCAGGGAUUUCUCAUUCCACUUGAAUAAUUUCAUUUCUUGGUUGUUCAAACAUGUGCACGUGCAGAGUAUUCCAGGUGGAUUCUUCAAGCAGCAUAAGCUGGAAAAGCAAAGAGUAACUCUAAGGCAUGCCAACAGAUCAUGGUCAGUGAGUUUUGGCAGGAGCAACAGACACGUCAGAGGGGCUUUGUGUCUGUUCUUUUCUGCUGGUUGGGAUGCAUUUGCAAGAGAGACUCAUCUGCACAUAGGAGAUGUCUGCAUGUUCAAGCUAAUUGAUAGGGAUGAUAUUGUAUUCGAAGUCUCCGUUUUGAGUGGUGAGGACUUGAUUUACAUUGUUAAAAAUGAGUACUUGAGGUGUAACUUUAGGCUGUUUAUCGCAUGACUUGCAUUCUGGGUUUAUAAUUAUGCCUCCCUUAUUUGGCUUUCGUGUCUCUAUGUCAUUUUAAAAUAUACUCGUACGUUUUUAUAAGAACUUUGUGUGUUGAUUAGUAUUGUAAUAAUUGAGGCGGCAUUCUAGUUGAUUUGUCACUUCCAAUGUGAAGAGCACUCAUGUCAAAUUGUCUGAAUUUUUCAUUUCAUGGUAAUCAUAAUUUCCAAUCUAGGUCAAUUGAAGAAACGCUCCCACUAAAGUCCUUUUAUUCUCAGUUCUUCGCGGGAACAAACUGUCCAAACGCAAAUUGAAUCAUCAUGAGCUGGUUACUCGUGGUCCUAGACCUCCAAAGCCCCCCACUACACCUGAAGUAGCCAGUGAAUUUGAGUCGGAGCAUCCCUUCUUCAAAGUGGUGAUACGGCAAUAUCAUAUGAAACAUAUGGUAAGAUCUGAAGCCUAGUCCACGACUGGCAUAUCUUGAGUUCAAUUUCAAUUGCUAUAAAUCAUGCCUCGAUAUUGUGUUUUCCCAAGUUGAUUUGGUUUGUAUCGGAAACUUAGAUGACAUAAUAUAUUUCUUAAAGUGUCCAUGGAGAAACCUAAUGAUGGAGUAACGUGGAACCAUAAAAAGAUGAAUAAGUAAAGACUGUAACUGGGUCGGGACUGUCCUUUACUGGGAUGCCCCACAAGCUGCUCUAUUCACUAUCCAAGUGAAAGGAUGGACCGUCACUUUAAUGGUAAACUAACUGAAAAUAGCUAUUAAUGGAGUCACUUCUUUAAUAAUGCUUUUGAUUGCAGGUUAAGAUUGAUAACUUUCAUAAGCCCCUUAAUGCUUGUUGAUUAAAACUCUUGAACUAGCAAUUAUCGGCAAGAAUAUGCCUCAUGUGCUUCUUCUUUUUCACGUGAGUGUAUUCUUAUGAGAUGUCCUUUUAACAUACAGUGGUUUGUUCAUGCAUGUAUGAAUGGGCAGUAUGUUCCAAAUCAAUUUUCCCAGCAACAUAUUCAAGAAAACAAGGAAAUGGCGACUCUCAGGUUUUCAGAUAGAUCGUGGCCGGUGAAGCUCUUAAGCUAUACGCAUAAUAAAUACCAGGGGGUGUAUUUCUCUGUUGGUUGGAAAGAAUUUGCAAGAGAAACUCAUCUGUGCGUGGGAAAUAUCUGUAUGUUUGAACUCAUUGAUAGUGAUGAUGUUGUCUUUCAAGUCUCCGUUUUUAGUAGUGCUGGUAAGAAUCUGAUUCACAUUGAUUGAGAUGAGCAUUUUCUAAUUUAUUCGGUAGUUGUGAAUCAUGAAAAGUAUACCUUUUAUGUUUCUGUUUUCUUCUUCUUUGCACUAGUCUCAAUUCGAUUUUCACGAUGACAGUAAUUUUCACACCAAAUGACUAGCAAAUUUCAACAUGCACAUGUGCAGAGUGUUCCGGUUAAAUUUGUCAAGCAACAUCUUCACGAAAACAAACAAGUAGCAACUCUUCGGUAGGCCUCUCACGUUGCCCGAAUUUGCUAGCAAUAUUGAUUCGGAGCAUCCCUUUUUCAAAAAGUGACCCCCCAAAGUUAUUUCCAUGGCCUGGUGAGAUCUAAAGUUUAAAUCAUCACUCACAUAUCUCAUAUUCAUUUUUCACUGUUUCAUGUAUUGGCUAUUCAAAACAUGCACAUGUGCAGAGUGUUCCGGUUAAAUUUGUCAAGCAACAUCUUCACGAAAACAAACAAGUAGCAACUCUUCGGUAUUCGGACAGAUCGUGGCCAGUAAAGCUCAUUAGGAGCCUUGGACAGGCCAGAGGUGCUCCGGCUCUGGCCUUCUCCACCGGUUGGUGUGUAUUCGCAAGAGAAACUGAUCUGCAUGCGGGAAAUGUCUGCUCGUUUGAGCUCAUCGAUAGGGAUGAGACAGUGUUCAAAGUCUCCAUUCUAAGAGGUGCUGGUAAUGACCUGAUUCAUGUUAAUGGAGAUGAGCAUCGGAAGUAUUACCUGAGGCCAUUGCAGCAUCGAAAUGAAAUCAGGGGUUCCUAAUGAUGCCUCCUUAUAUUAAGCAGCGCAGCAGCGAAUCAAUCAAAAGCACUAUUUUCUGCUUUUUGUUCUCCUUUCUUCCUUUUUGUGCUAGUUUCAAUUCUAUGACUACCUUGCUUGGAAAGAACCUCCCAAAUCAGUGAUCUCUAUGGUUUUGCACAGCGGCUCAACCUGACCAGUGGAUCUACAGGACAGUGAAGACAUAAUGCUCUGAUGUAUGUUCAUGGAGUAUUUCUCCUUUUAUAUGUUUUGUCCUUCAAAUAUUAUGGCUUGUCCUCGUCCUCUUCGUUCCCGGAGAGAAUACGAAGCUGUUGCCGAGCAGGAGACUCCUCCUCCUAGUAGUAGCCAUCACUUCUUCAGGAUCAUAUUCUUCGGGAUCGUACUCUCUGACAAGCUAAUUUGCCAGGUUACGAGUUUUGAUCAACACCCUUGAGAGGUUCCUGAAAGUCAUUGAUCUCAAUUAAGCAGCAAUCCAAAGCAUUUUCUUUUAGAAGUGACGUGUCAUUUAGUUUUCCAUACUAUUCAAAAUCAACUUUGGGAAAAAGCACAACACCGAAGCUUCAAUCUGGUCAGCAUGUAAGUAUUUCUAAUGUUCAAAUUAGUGGCGGAAAAUAUCACUAAGAAUUUUGUUUUACACUGACGGUAAAUGGUCUAUUUUUUAUUAUUUUUUCUUUGAUAGUACAAGAGACAAAAGCCUGAAAAGUAGAGUGGUUGGCAAUGGCGAAAAUUUUGCAUACAUGAUCUAAUUCUACAUGCCAUGAUCUAUAUGCCAAAAUAAAGCCUAGCAAUGCAACUCCGGAUUUUAUAAGGAUUUGCACAAGCAAUCAACCUACGUUCUCUUGGACUUUCAACUUUGAACUUGCAACUUUAAACUCCUUGCGAGAAUGGUGUUUGGUGCACUCCCGCAAAAUAAAAUCGAAAUGACAUUAUGUUGGAAAUUUAAGUAAGACCAAUCUGAACACAAUGGGGAUCAUCAUGGAUGGGUCAUAACAUGUACAUAUAUGAAUGUAACCUAUAAACAAUGAGGUGAAGGGCGAAUAAGAGACUAAAUAUAAAAAGAGUUGUUGAAAUAGCUUAUUAUCAUGAAAAUAGGUGAUAGUUGGAAAUGAAGAGAAAUGAUGGUUGAUCAUGAAAAGUGAUAAUAAUGGGGAUAAGGGACAUAUUCUCAAGAGAUGUAUUGAUUGGCUAUACGUAAAUACGACCAAAUCAUACAUUAUUCAAUAAUCCUGUUCAAGAAUAGUAGCCUUCUCUUCAUAUUAUUCCCUACUAUUAUUUUCUUUUUUCACCUACAAGUUUGAUAAUAUAUUUAAGGUGAAAUUUCAAGAGAGAAAUUGAGUAAUUCUUGAACUCAAUUUUUUUUUUAUAGCUUUACUGUAUAUAUUGGAGGUAUAUUUAUUUUAAAUCAGUAGCAACAAUAGGAGUAAAUAAUACCUUAAAGACAGUCAUUUUUAUCAUGCAUCAAAGGACUAAAUAAACUACUGAUCUAUCUUCAUUAGGGAAUGAAGUUCCCAACAAGAGCAUGAUGGGUGAAUGAAUGAAACUGUGUAAUGGAAACUGAGUUAACACAAAAGACUGAGGUUGGUGGGAAUUAAUUUAGAACAAAAGAACCUGAAUAUUCGGCCAACGAGUUAACAAAGGAUAAAUCGAAAACAAAAACCAAGGACAGGCAUGCUGGCUUUGUUUUGUCGUUGACAUACUAGGAAGGCAUGACGUUAGAUCACAAUGAAAUUAUAAGACACGAUCGGGGUAUUGUGGAAAAUCAAUCAUCUCAUACCUGGGACGACCAAAUGAUGGAAGGUUUUCCUUGAUGGCUUGCGGUUUCGCUCUUCUUGAAUCCACGAAAGAGAACAUGCUUCCGAUGCUCUCCUCAAAACUCUCUCUCUCUCAGUACGAGCAUAUGCUCGGAAGAGUUCUCAGGUUAUGGUGACUUGAGAGAGAUGACAAAUAUGAGAACGUAAGAGAACCCUUCUUCUAUGUCUAACGUACUUUGCUGAAAUUCUUGUCGUGACUUCCCCAGAGGUGAACCAUCGAGGAAAAGUUAAUUAAUUACUAAGCAAACAAGGGUCUCCCAAACCCAUAUUAGUCGCAACUUUGGGAUUUUAAUUUAAUCAAUUAAACAUGCAAAUCAAUUUAUUUUUCUACUAAUCUAUUAGGGGUAGAUUGGAAAUCCAAGUACAAUGUAGGAGAACAUUUCACUUAUGCGAAUGAGAGAUUUCAUGAAUAAGAGGGCUUAGCUGCGCUAGAUAAAUCUAACACCAUCUCAAUACUUUUCUCUUUAUUUCAAAAUGUUUGGUAAGUAGUCUUGAUCAAUUUAAUCCUAAAUCACUAAUCAUGAGGGUGUGCAAACACUAAUUUAGCACUCAAUAAAUUACAACAAGAAAUAAAUCACUAAAAUAUGAUAAAAAAAGACACCCGGACCCUGGAGUGCCAAAAGUUGACACAAUAGGGUGCGCAUGACAAAAUUUUUAAAACAUAAAUUGAUUUCUGGCCAGAAAUUGAUUUUCCAAUUUCUAUUUCAGAAAUUGAGAAGUUAAAAAUUUUAGCUUCUGAUUUAUUCUUCAAAUUUAUUUCUGGAAUAUAAAUCUGUUCCAAAAAUAGAAAAAUCAAAUUGCAUUACCAAACGAAUUUUUGUUCCAAACUUGUUUCGGGAAACAGAAAAACAGAGAAAUAGAGAAAUAGAGAAAUAGAUAUUUUAUCAUGUAGCCCUUAAGUGCCAAAAGUUACGAAAGUGACACUUAAUGCUAGAAUUAGAGCAAAAUGAAUCACUUAAGUCUUAUCGGCCAAAAUGCUAACGUGGCAAUUUUCUGGCGAGCUACACACUACACGCAAAAUGACGUUGUUUUGUAUGCUGAUGUGGCUAAAUAGUGGCAAAACGACGUCAUUUUGGUAUAAUUCGAAUUUUAAUAUAAUAAUUAAUUAAAUUAAAUUUUAAAAUAAAUAAAUAAAUAUUUUUUUUUAAAAGGAGGAGGGAGGCGGCCGAUGGCUGAGGGCUCAGCCCUCGCUGCCCUCGCUACCACCUCCCCUUCGUCGUUGAGGAGGUGGGGGAGUGUCGGUCAGGGCUACCAAGCCCAGGCCAAGGGUCGGCAACCUUAGCUAACCAGUAGCAAGGGCUUGUGUGCCCUUGCCUAGCCGACCUAAGGGCUGCCACCUGCUGAGGGGUCGCCCAGCCUCCUCUGCCUUUGCCAGGCCGAACCCUACCACCAGUGGUGACCACCGACCAAAGAGAUUUACUUGCGAGGAGUGCAAGAUGAGCGACACCGUGAACGAUUGAGUUGUCAGACAACCUUGACCACUAGAGAUGGGUGGCGGCAAGGCAGCGAUAGGCAAUGGAGGUGGCGGUGAAUCGGAUUUGUGGAGGGAAGGGCAGAGUAAAUCGUGGCAUUUUGAGGGUGCGUUUAUGUCUCGAUAAUAGCUACCGAGCUAGGUUCAUUUUUAAGGGAUUGAUAAAUGGAUUUUAAAUGGGUAGAGAUUAAACUCAUUUAACACUCACAUAUUUUAGUCUCUCUAUUUUAAAAAUUCAUUAUAGUUACUUUGAGAAAUAAAACUUGACCUAUUGAUGGCCAUUUAAGCAAGUAUGGGUGUACUCAUUUUGACACCUCUGCAUCCGCGUUACGAGAGGCUAGUGUCUGAUUAACACUUCCCAUGAAUCUUUGCCUUGAUCACCGAGCCAUCUGAUUUUGCCAGGACGAUGGCCUCUAGAACGAAGGCUCCGCGCUCCUGUAGUUGAAGUUGAAACCCCCCAAACCAUCUUCAUCUUCUUCUGCUGUAAGGCGUCAGGGGACACUGCUGUCUAUGGCUUCUCGCAACGGUCGUCGUCGUCGCCGGAGAGAAGAUGGAGCUGUCGAGCGGGAGGUCGCGACCGGUCCUCGUCUUGGGAGCCGUUGCUUCUUCAAGAUCAUACUCUCCAACGCCCUUGAAUCUGGAAAGCUUGUGAGUUGAUCACAUCUUCAUCAGUGUUUUAAGAGUUUCUCGCUCUCUGUGCUGUGUACCCGUCAACCUGAAAAAACUGGUUUAUGGGUUCGGUUUGGAAUGAACUUUUCGCUUCCAGUUUAAAAAAGAACAAGAGGGUAUUGUCUGACAUGGCCUGUUUAUCAAACAAAAUUUCUCCUUUUUGCAUGCUUCGAUGAUAUGAAUGUCUUCAUCGGAUGUGCGACCGGUUGUCCUGAACCGUGGUGAUGGUGGGCCUCAUGUCCUCUUGGCUGCUGCCAUUUCUUCUGCUAAAGUUUGCUUUUUUGUAUAUUUGUUUUACGAUUUGGGUCGAAAUGGGUUUUCGGAAUAUAGUGUAAUGUGCAUGGUUCAGGUUUCCACAACAUCCGUUGGACAUUGCUAUUGGGAGAGUAAUUUCUUGGAUACACAGAUUUAACUGACCAAAAAUGAUAUGACAAAGUAAUGGGCUUUUUCUAAUGUGCCUUGCUUCCUUGGGCGGCAAAAUUGUCGUGCGCGAUCUCAGUCGUGGGAGAAAAGAAAAUCCAUGUCAGCUGUUGUAUGACAAAACGUCUUGGCCAUGGGAUCAAGAUAAUUUUAUGUCAACUUUGGAUUUGGCACGGCAAUUUCACUAAUUUUAGUAUAAACGAAUUUUGGAUUCUUGAGCUUUAUGCUUGUCCAAUGAAGCAACUAGAACUACAAGUCAAUCCACGACUAUUCUGAAGUACAAUUGUGGAAACUGAUCAUUCAUCCAUGUUGCAGAAUUUAAAGUUUCUUAGUUUUCUUCCUAUUCUCUGCACUUCAAUUUGACUAUGUUGAGUUAUUACCAUGGACCUUUAACUUUAAUUUUUUACAUAAUAGGGAAUUCCAAAGAAUUUCAUAAGAAGAUGUGGAAAGGAUCUCUCAAGCUCGGUGCUUCUUAAGGUUCCAGGCGGUUCAGCCUGGACUAUAGAACUAGAAACGUGCAACAAUGACUUGGUUUCGUUGUGGAAAGGUUGGCGGGAAUUCAUGGAGCAUUACUCUAUUGGUCAUGGUCACCUCAUAGUUUUCAAAUAUAAAGGAAACUCCACUUUUCAUGUAAUAAUAUUCGAUAAGAGUGCUUCAGAGAUAGAUUAUUCAUCGAGCAGCAGCAAAAUAUUGUACUUUGGGAGUGAAUUUCCCUCACCAAAAUCAGAAGAUGUCCUAGAAGCAGAAGAUCUGCAGGAUUCCACACCCUGUCAAAGAAUGAGGGUUGAACCACAUUUACCUUAUUCUCAGCUAAGUCUGAGCUACCCACCACAAGGUUUGGAAGGUGUGACUCUUCAUUUUUUAAGUCACGUUUCUUCUUACAUCACUCUCUUUAGUUAGUUGUUUUCCAAAAAUACUAGAAAACUUUUUUAUUAAAGUUUUUUCCUAAGCCAGUUUUUCAUGGUCCUACACCUCUGAGGCCUCUCACUGCUCCUGAAUUAUCCAAUGAGUUUUAUUCAGAGAAUCCCUUCUUCAAACUGGUGAUAAAUCAGGGUGGAAAAAUGGUAAGAUCUCGAGUUUCAUCCACCGCUGGCAUAUCUCAAGUUCAAUUAGGAUUGCUAGCUAAAUCUUGCCUCAGAUUAGGAUUGCUUGCUAAAUCUUGCCUCAGUAUUGUGUUUUCCCAAGUUGAUUUGGUCUGUAACUGAUACAAUAUGACAUGUUAAUAAUGGGAAACAGGGAAAAAGAAGAAUUAUAAUGUCAGGACUGUCCAUUCACUUAGAUAUUCUGCAUAAGCUGCUCUAAUCACUAUCCAAGUGAAAGGAUGGACAGCACUUGAAUGGAAAACUGUCUGUUAAUGGACAUUCACUUUUGGAGAAUUCUUUAGAUUGCAGGUUAAGAUUGAUGAUGCUUUAGAUUGCAGGUUAAGAUCAUUAAAUUUUGUGAGCCUCUUAAAGUCAUUGACUGAAACUCCUGAAACUAGCAAAUAUCACCAUGAUUAUUCUUCUUGUGUGCUUUUUCCUUAAAAUUGUGUGCUGACUCGUUUGUACAAACAUGUACAUAUGUGCAGAAUAUUCCUGUUGGAUUUGCCAGGCGAUAUAUUCAAGCAGACAGGGAAAUGGCGACACUUAGGUUUUCAGACGGAUCGUGGCUGGUGAAGCUUUUAAGAAAUUUGCAGGAUCACCAGGCAUGCUUCUCUGCUGAUUGGACUGCAUUUGCAAGAGAAAACUGUCUGCUUGUAGGAGAUGUCUGCAUGUUUGAGCUCAUUGAUAGAGAUGACGUUGUGUUCCAAGUCUCCAUCUGCCGUAGUGCAGGUACAGACCCGAUUCACAUUGAUUGAGAUUAACAUCAAAACUGUUACUCUAGGCCAUACGCAGCGUCCAUAGGAAUUCAGGGUUCCUAAUUAUGCCUCUUCAUAUGGUAGUAGCUAGUCAAUGAAAAAUAGACUCACGUUUUUUUGUUUCCUUCGUCUGCUAAAGUCGAUUCUAUAAGACCCCAUUUGGAAAGAAUCUCUCAAAUUAGGGACUUCGGCAAGUUUUCUGGUGGCUCAAACCUGACCUUUAGAACGGUAAAGUGUAGUGACAUUGAACACCCUUGCCUUAAGCCAAUAAGGGAUAAGUGCAUUGGAAGUCUUAAAAGUUGUUAUGAAAGUGCUAUGAGUCACAAAACUUCAAAAACUGUAAUAAAGUCAUAAAACUUAUCACAAAAGUGUAAUUAAGUCCUAAAACUUUCAAAAAAAGUACAAUCAACGGAAGGACUUGAUUGGACUUGACAAGUUUUUGUAUUUGAUUGCACUUUUUAAAAAAAUUUAGGACUUAAUUGCACUUUUUUGACAAGUUUUAGGACUUAAUUGCAAUUUUUGAAAGUUUAAGGAAAUUGCACUUUGGUUACAAGUUGUAGGACUUUUAAUGCACUUAUCUCUAAGCCAUGUACCAACUCUGAAUUACAAGGUGCAACCCAUGGUUUUACAAGCUCAAUUUGAACUUAUCAGAUUCUUUUCAUUUCUCUAUUUGCAUACUUGAAGACUUUAUAGGAAGUUUAUUUGCCUAGGGGUGCAUGUUGAAGUUUAUUAGUUUCUUUUCAUGUGGAGAGCAUUUAGAAUUUAUUUCAUCAAACUACCUGAAUCUUGAUGUGCAUGACAGAACAUUUUUCCAAUCUAUACUAAAUCUUUUUGUAGUUAGUCAGUUAAAGAAAUCUUCACACGAAUGUCUGCUAAAUUCCUCAUUGUUUAACUGGGGAAAAAGGAUAUCUAUUCUCCUGCCUUACCACUCGACCAUGCUGCUAAGAUGAUAAGGUGUCAUUCGAAAUAGAUUUAAAAAGUUGCCCACUGUGGAGCAGAGUAGCUUUACUAUCUCUAUUUGAGUUGAUUCCUAUCCUUAGCAGUUUUGGAACUAAACGAAACCUGGUCUUCUCGAUAUGUAGCUUGUAUUGAUGCUGACCCCGAAGAACCAGAUGUGUCUCAAGCUCCGGCGGACUUGACAGAUAGGAUCCAACAGUCUACAUGCAGGGUGAGCCAUUUGGAGCUGGUUUUUCAUGGUCCUACACUUCCAAGGCCUCUUGCUCCUCCUGAAUCAGCCUGCAAAUUAGAUUUGGAACAUCCCUUUUUUAAAAUGGUGAUGCCCCGAUCUUAUUUGAAUUGCCUGGUAAGUCUUGAGCUUAAUUCAUCACCGGUAUAUCUAGAGUUCCAUUAUGAUUGCUAUCACCUACAAUGCCGUGAUCACAUUAGCUGUUGAUGUUUAUGAGAGUUUUUCUAUGUUUAUAGUGUUCAUGAUAUAAUCCAAUAGAUUAUUACAUCAAUAAUCAUUAGUAACACGUAUUAAAAAAGGAUGUGGGCUAGCGAUUUCUUUCAUCCUUGAGCACUUUCAAAAGGAUAAAUACAUCUGUGGAUUUCUUCGACGUCAAAUGGUUACCUUCUUGCUUUUUGCCCUCCAAUUUAUCCUUGGAUUUCUCAUUCCACUUGAACAAUUUCAUAUCUCGGUUGUUCAAACAUGUACAUGGCCAGAGUAUUCCGCUUGGAUUCAUCAAGCAACAUAUCCAGGAAAAGCCAAGAGCAACUCUUAGGUACUCAGACAGAUCAUGGUCAGUGAAGCUCAUCAGGAGCAACAGACACCUCAAAGGGGCUUCUGCUCUGUCCUUCUCUGCUGGUUGGCGUGCAUUUGCAAGAGAAACUCAUCUGCGUGCAGGAAAUGUCUGCUUGUUUGAGCUAAUUGAUCGGGUUGAUAUUGUCUUCAAAGUCUCCAUUUUGAGUGGUGCCAGUAAGGACUUGAUAUACGUUGUUGAAAAUGAGUACUUGAAGUGUAUGCCUCCCUUAUUUGGUUGUGCUGCAUAACUGACGAGUACACUUUCUUUUCUAUGUUAAUUUAAAAUAUAGUGAUUUGUCUCCCUUAUUUGGUUGUGCUGCAUAACUGACGAGUACACUUUCUUUUCUAUGUUAAUUUAAAAUAUAGUGAUUUGUCUCCCUUAUUUGGCUGUGCUGCAUAACUGACGAGUACACUUUCUUUUCUAUGUUAAUUUAAAAUAUAGUGAUUUGUCUCUUUCGAUGUGAAGAGCACGAAUAAUAUUUUCAUUCAAAUUGUCUGACUUUUUCAUUUCAUGGUAAUCAUAAUUUCCAAUCGAUUUAUAUAUCUUAUUAUCAUAGGUGGUCCUACACCUCCGAAGCCCUUCACUACUCCUGAAUUAGCCAGUGUGUUUGAGUCAGAGCAUCCCUUCUUCGAAGUGGUCAUACAGCAAUGGCAUCAGAAUAAAUUGGUAAGAACUCAAGCCUAAUCGACCGGUGGCAUAAUUCAAGUUCAAUUACAAUUGCUGUAAAUCAUGCCUUGAUAUUGUCUUUUCCCAAGUUGAUUUGGUUUGUGUUGGAAACUUAACGACGGAUUAUAUUUCUCAAGUGUCCAUGGGGAAUCCUAAUGAUGGAGUAACAUGGAACUAGGAAAAGAUGAAUAAGUAAAGACAGUAUUUGGGUUGGGACUGUAAUUGAAUAUUCCUCACAUGCCACUCUAUUCACUAUCCAAGUGAAAGGAUGGACAGGCACUUGAAUGGUAAACUAACUGAAAAUAGCUUUUAAUGGACAGUCCUUUCUUAAAUAUUGCUUUGGAUUGCAGGUUAAGAUCGGUGACUUUCAUAAACCCCUUAAGGCUGGUGAUUAAAACUCUUGAACUACAUCAUGUGCUUUUUUCCUUGUUUUUCACGUGAGUGUAUGUUUAUGUGAUGUCCUUUUAACAUACAGUGGUUUGUUCCCACAUGUAUGAAUGUGCAGUACGUUCCCCGUCAAUUUGCCAAGCAACACAUUCAAGAAAACAGGGAAAUGGCGACUCUUAGGUUUUCAGACAGAUUGUGGCUGGUGAAGCUCAAAAGCUAUUCGCAUGGAAGCCUGAUGUUCUUCUCUGCUGGUUGGCCUGCAUUUGCAAGAGAAACUCAUCUGUGUGUGGGAAAUAUCUGUGUGUUUGAGCUCAUUGAUAGGGAUGAUGUUGUAUUCCAAGUCUCUAUUUUCAGUAGUGCCGGUAAGGAUCCAAUUCACAUUGAUUGAGAUGAACAUAGGAUGGGUUACUUUAAGCCAUUUGCUGCAUUAAUAUGAAUUCAGCAUUUCCAAUUAGCCUCAAAAGUGGACUUUUUCAUGUUUCUGUUUUCUUCUUUUCUGCACUAGUCUCAAUUCGAUUUUCAUGAUGACAGUGAUUUUCAAUCUAUGCUGGAUCUUUUCAUAGCAAGUCAAUUAAAGAGACAUUCUCACCAAUUCUAUUCAAUUUCUCAUUGUUUUACUGCAGGUGGGAUAGAGAAAUCGACAUGCAGAGUGGGCUGUUCUGAGCUGGAUUUUCAUGGUCCUACACUAUCAAGGCCUCUCAGGUCUCCCGAAUUUGCUAGCAAUAUUGAUUCAGAGCAUCCCUUUUUAAAAAAGGUGACCCCGCAAAGUUAUUUCCAUGGCCUGGUAAGAUCUAAAGCUUAAAUCAUCACUCACGUAUCUCAUAUUCAUUUUUGACCGUUUUCAUGUAUUGGCUAUAAAAAACAUGCACAUGUGCAGAAUGUUCCAGUUGGAUUUUUCAAGCAACAUCUUCAGGAAAACAAACAAAUAGCGACUCUUCGGUAUUUGGACAGAUCGUGGCAAGUGAAGCUCAUUAGGAGCCUUGGACAGGCCAGAGGUACUCCAGCUCUGGUCUUCUCUGCUGGUUGGCGUGCGUUCGCAAGAGAAACUGAUCUGCGUGCAGGAAAUGUCUGCUUGUUUGAGCUCGUUGAUAGGGAUGAGACAGUGUUCAAAGUCUCCAUUCUGAGAGGUGCUGGUAAUGACCUGAUUCAUGUUAAUGGAGAUGAGCAUCGGAAGUAUUACCUGAGGCCAUUGCAGCAUCGAAAUGAAAUCAGGGGUUCCUAAUGAUGCCUCCUUAUAUUAAGCAGCGCAGCAGCGAAUCAAUCAAAAGCACUCUUUUCUGCUUUUUGUUCUCCUUUCUUCCUUUUUGUGCUAGUUUCAAUUCUAUGACCA
Molecule: long non-coding RNA, 21732 nt
Filed under: Eucalyptus grandis
Lineage: Eukaryota; Viridiplantae; Streptophyta; Magnoliopsida; Myrtales; Myrtaceae
Description: long non-coding RNA (EGRA_LNC004190)
Source: RNAcentral